CAGCCGCCGCGGUAACACCGGCCGCUCAAGUGGUGACCGCUAUUAUUGGGCCUAAAGCGUCCGUAGCCGGUUCGGUAAGUCCCUGGGUAAAUCCUGCCGUUUAACGGUAGGAAUUCUGGGGAUACUGCCGGACUCGGGGUCGAGAGAAGUCGGAGGUACUCCGGGGGUAGCGGUGAAAUGCUGUAAUCCUCGGGGGACCACCAGUGGCGAAGGCGUCCGACUAGAGCGGGCCCGACGGUGAGGGACGAAAGCCAGGGGAGCGAACGGGACUAGAUACCCCGGUAGUCCUGGCCGUAAACGCUGUGGGCUAGGUGUUGCAUGCUCUACGAGGGCAUGCAGUGCCGUAGAGAAGUUGAUAAGCCUACCGCCUGGGAAGUACUACCGCAAGGUAGAAACUUAAAGGAAUUGGCGGGGGAGCAC
This 420-nucleotide ribosomal RNA is filed under the name uncultured euryarchaeote. RNAcentral describes it as "bacterial SSU rRNA". It matches the Rfam family "Archaeal small subunit ribosomal RNA", at positions 459 to 879 of the family's 1478-position model. Lineage: Archaea; Methanobacteriati; Methanobacteriota. The record is from RNAcentral.